This 543-nucleotide ribosomal RNA is filed under the name uncultured bacterium. RNAcentral's name for it is "bacterial SSU rRNA". It matches the Rfam family "Bacterial small subunit ribosomal RNA", at positions 355 to 896 of the family's 1533-position model. The record is from RNAcentral.
UGGGGAAUAUUGCACAAUGGGCGCAAGCCUGAUGCAGCGACGCCGCGUGAGGGAUGGAGGCCUUCGGGUUGUGAACCUCUUUCGCUCAUGGUCAAGCCGCAACUCAUGGUUGUGGUGAGGGUAGUGGGUAAAGAAGCGCCGGCUAACUACGUGCCAGCAGCCGCGGUAAUACGUAGGGCGCGAGCGUUGUCCGGAAUUAUUGGGCGUAAAGGGCUUGUAGGCGGUUGGUCGCGUCUGCCGUGAAAUCCUCUGGCUUAACUGGGGGCGUGCGGUGGGUACGGGCUGGCUUGAGUGCGGUAGGGGAGACUGGAACUCCUGGUGUAGCGGUGGAAUGCGCAGAUAUCAGGAAGAACACCGGUGGCGAAGGCGGGUCUCUGGGCCGUUACUGACGCUGAGGAGCGAAAGCGUGGGGAGCGAACAGGAUUAGAUACCCUGGUAGUCCACGCUGUAAACGUUGGGCACUAGGUGUGGGGGCCACCCGUGGUUUCUGCGCCGUAGCUAACGCUUUAAGUGCCCCGCCUGGGGAGUACGGUCGCAAGGCUA